Molecule: transfer RNA, 74 nt
Filed under: Anopheles gambiae str. PEST
Lineage: Eukaryota; Metazoa; Arthropoda; Insecta; Diptera; Culicidae
Description: partial tRNA-OTHER
Source: RNAcentral
GAACCCAUGGCACAGUGGUUAGCUCGCAUGACUUAAAAACACGCCCGUGGUGGGUUCAAGCCUCGCAUGGUCCG